GAGGGUGUAGCUCAAGUGGCAGAGCACAUGCUUAGCAGGCGCGGGGUCCUGGGUUCAAUCCCCAGCACCUCCU
Molecule: transfer RNA, 73 nt
Filed under: Camelus bactrianus (Bactrian camel)
Lineage: Eukaryota; Metazoa; Chordata; Mammalia; Artiodactyla; Camelidae
Also listed under: 2 other names
Rfam family: tRNA
About the family: Transfer RNA (tRNA) molecules are approximately 80 nucleotides in length.
Source: Rfam by way of RNAcentral